CUACGGGUGGCACCAGUGGGGAAUAUUGCACAAUGGGCGCAAGCCUGAUGCAGCCAUGCCGCGUGUAUGAAGAAGGCCUUCGGGUUGUAAAGUACUUUCAGCGGGGAGGAAGGGAGUAAAGUUAAUACCUUUGCUCAUUGACGUUACCCGCAGAAGAAGCACCGGCUAACUCCGUGCCAGCAGCCGCGGUAAUACGGAGGGGUGCAAGCGUUAAUCGGAAUUACUGGGCGUAAAGCGCACGCAGGCGGUUUGUUAAGUCAGAUGUGAAAUCCCCGGGCUCAACCUGGGAACUGCAUCUGAUACUGGCAAGCUAGAGUCUCGUAGAGGGGGGUAGAAUUCCAGGUGUAGCGGUGAAAUGCGUAGAGAUCUGGAGGAAUACCGGUGGCGAAGGCGGCCCCCUGGACGAAGACUGACGCUCAGGUGCGAAAGCGUGGGGAGCAAACAGGAUUAGAUACCCCUGUAGUC
This 465-nucleotide ribosomal RNA is filed under the name uncultured bacterium. Its description in RNAcentral is "partial 16S ribosomal RNA". It matches the Rfam family "Bacterial small subunit ribosomal RNA", at positions 339 to 795 of the family's 1533-position model. The record is from RNAcentral.